UGGUGGAGUGAUUUGUCUGGUUAAUUCCGUUAACGAACGAGACCUCGACCUGCUAAAUAGCUCGGCCCACCCCUCGGGGUGGGUGCGCGGCUUCUUAGAGGGACUAUCGGUGCGUAGCCGAUGGAAGUUCGAGGCAAUAACA
RNAcentral lists this ribosomal RNA (142 nucleotides) under uncultured eukaryote. RNAcentral describes it as "partial 18S ribosomal RNA". It matches the Rfam family "Eukaryotic small subunit ribosomal RNA", at positions 1299 to 1458 of the family's 1831-position model. The record is from RNAcentral.